GGGCGUCUGGGCAGUACCCA
Molecule: unclassified non-coding RNA, 20 nt
Filed under: synthetic construct
Description: RNA (5'-R(*GP*GP*GP*CP*GP*U)-D(P*C)-R(P*UP*GP*GP*GP*CP*AP*GP*UP*AP*CP*CP*CP*A)-3... from synthetic construct (PDB 5DQK, chain B)
Source: RNAcentral